CAGCAACAAUUCUGAGAGCUGCAGCCGCCAAUAUCAUAGUUUCUUUUUUACUUGGCAAGAGAUUUGAAUAUGAAGAUGCUAUACUUCUAAGACUCCUGGAAAUACUUGAAGAAAAUUUACACCUUGCAGGAACCCCUGCUGUGUGGAUGUAUAAUGUGUUUCCCAAGUUGAGAUUCCUUUUGUGUGCUCAUAAAAAAAUAAUGAAUAACCG
Molecule: non-coding RNA, 211 nt
Organism: Pseudonaja textilis
Lineage: Eukaryota; Metazoa; Chordata; Lepidosauria; Squamata; Elapidae
Source: RefSeq, a predicted model, not a curated record